This 177-nucleotide ribosomal RNA is filed under the name uncultured bacterium. RNAcentral describes it as "partial 16S ribosomal RNA". It matches the Rfam family "Bacterial small subunit ribosomal RNA", at positions 1328 to 1500 of the family's 1533-position model. The record is from RNAcentral.
GGAAUCGCUAGUAAUCGCGGAUCAGCACGCCGCGGUGAAUACGUUCCCGGGCCUUGUACACACCGCCCGUCACACCAUGGAAGUCCGCAAUACCCGAAGCCGGUGGCCUAACCACUUAUGUGGAAGGAGCCGUCUAAGGCAGGGCAGAUGACUGGGGUGAAGUCGUAACAAGGUAAC